AAUGAACGUUGGCGGCGUGGAUUAGGCAUGCAAGUCGUGCGAUAACCCCGCAAGGGGGGAAAGCGGCGAAAGGGAGAGUAACGCGUGGGUACCUACCCCUUGGUCCGGAAUAGCUGCGGGAAACUGCAGGUAAUGCCGGAUAAUAUCCUCGGAUCAAAGGUGUGAUUCCGCCGAGGGAGGGGCCCGCGUUCUAUUAGCUAGUUGGUAGGGUAAUGGCCUACCAAGGCGACGAUGGAUACCGGGUGUGAGAGCAUGACCCGGCUCACUGGGACUGAGACGCUGCCCAGACACCUACGGGUGGCUGCAGUCGAGAAUCUUCGGCAAUGGGCGCAAGCCUGACCGAGCGACGCCGCGUGCGGGAUGAAGGCCUUCGGGUUGUAAACCGCUGUCGUAGAGGAGGAAAUGCCAUGGGGUUCUCUCCAUGGUUUGACCUAUUCUAGGAGGAAGGACGGGCUAAGUUCGUGCCAGCCGCCGCAGUAA
RNAcentral lists this ribosomal RNA (480 nucleotides) under uncultured bacterium. RNAcentral describes it as "partial 16S ribosomal RNA". It matches the Rfam family "Bacterial small subunit ribosomal RNA", at positions 28 to 523 of the family's 1533-position model. The record is from RNAcentral.